UUUUAUUGCAUGUCUGUAGUCCUGGACACACCCAAUCCUGUCUGAUCUGUGAAGCUAAGCAGGGUUGGGCCCAGAGUUGAUUAGUCACUGGAAGGGAGACUGCCUCCACCAGGUGCUGUAAGGU
Molecule: ribosomal RNA, 124 nt
Filed under: Oryzias melastigma (Indian medaka)
Lineage: Eukaryota; Metazoa; Chordata; Actinopteri; Beloniformes; Adrianichthyidae
Source: RNAcentral